UAAAUAGCUCAAUGAGAGCAUUGAAUUGAAGCUUCAAGGGUAACUAUUUGUUUUUGAACAU
Molecule: transfer RNA, 61 nt
Filed under: Chalcophana sp. N69
Lineage: Eukaryota; Metazoa; Arthropoda; Insecta; Coleoptera; Chrysomelidae
Description: tRNA-Phe
Source: RNAcentral